UGGGGAAUCUUCCGCAAUGGGCGAAAGCCUGACGGAGCAACGCCGCGUGAGUGAAGACGGCCUUCGGGUUGUAAAGCUCUGUUAUACGGGACGAAUAGUCUUGUGGUUAAUACCCAUGAGAAGUGACGGUACCGUAAGAGAAAGCCACGGCUAACUACGUGCCAGCAGCCGCGGUAAUACGUAGGUGGCAAGCGUUGUCCGGAAUUAUUGGGCGUAAAGGGCGCGCAGGCGGCUUCUUAAGUCUGUCUUAAAAGUGCGGGGCUUAACCCCGUGAUGGGAUGGAAACUGGGAAGCUCAGAGUAUCGGAGAGGAAAGCGGAAUUCCUAGUGUAGCGGUGAAAUGCGUAGAUAUUAGGAGGAACACCAGUGGCGAAAGCGGCUUUCUGGACGAAAACUGACGCUGAGGCGCGAAAGCCAGGGGAGCGAACGGGAUUAGAUACCCCGGUAGUCCUGGCCGUAAACGAUGGGUACUAGGUGUAGGAGGUAUCGACCCCUUCUGUGCCGGAGUUAACGCAAUAAGUACCCCGCCUGGGGAGUACGGCCGCAAGGUUG
Molecule: ribosomal RNA, 551 nt
Filed under: uncultured bacterium
Lineage: Bacteria
Description: bacterial SSU rRNA
Rfam family: Bacterial small subunit ribosomal RNA
Source: RNAcentral